Molecule: transfer-messenger RNA, 383 nt
Filed under: Hyphomicrobium sp.
Lineage: Bacteria; Pseudomonadati; Pseudomonadota; Alphaproteobacteria; Hyphomicrobiales; Hyphomicrobiaceae
Rfam family: Alphaproteobacteria transfer-messenger RNA
About the family: Bacterial tmRNA, also known as 10Sa RNA or SsrA, is named for its dual tRNA and mRNA-like properties. Its role is to liberate the mRNA from a stalled ribosome.
Source: RNAcentral
AGGCUUUUUUUCUGGCGCGUCUGCCUCUAUAUUCACCGUGCCGGAUUCGUCCGGCUAUGGCGAUAAACGCGGUCGUAAUAAGCCGAUCGGACCCGGGGGCAGUACCCGGCGCCUCCACCACAUGCCCGUGCGAGCACUCAACGCAAGCUUCGACGCGCGGGCAUCUGAUGGGGGCGAACUAGGAUCGACGAAGGUGUAAAGGGCUUAGCUUUUGCUCGGCAUGGUUCCGCCGUUAUCGGGCCAUUCAGAAUAGUUGCCAAUGACAACUAUCCUGAGGCUGCUCUCGCUGCGUAAUGCGGCGCGAUUAGCCUGAACUUGAAGCCCUUAUCCUUAGCCGGAUAAGGCGCGGUCCGGAGGGCACCGGGCAACAGAAGCCCUCCACU